RNAcentral lists this ribosomal RNA (501 nucleotides) under uncultured Desulfobulbus sp. RNAcentral's name for it is "bacterial SSU rRNA". It matches the Rfam family "Bacterial small subunit ribosomal RNA", at positions 882 to 1382 of the family's 1533-position model. The record is from RNAcentral. Lineage: Bacteria; Pseudomonadati; Thermodesulfobacteriota; Desulfobulbia; Desulfobulbales; Desulfobulbaceae.
GCCCGCUCAAGAAACUCGAAAGGAAUGACGGGGCCCGCACAAGCGGUGGAGUAUGUGGUUUAAUUCGAUGCAACGCGAAGAACCUUACCUGGUCUUGACAUCCCGGAGACCCUUAGGAAACUAGGGGGUGCUUCCAUCUGGAAGAAUCUGGAGACAGGUGCUGCAUGGCUGUCGUCAGCUCGUGUCGUGAGAUGUUGGGUUAAGUCCCGCAACGAGCGCAACCCUUGCCUUUAGUUGCCAGCAGUUCGGCUGGGCACUCUAAAGGGACUGCCGGUGUUAAACCGGAGGAAGGUGGGGAUGACGUCAAGUCCUCAUGGCCUUUAUGACCAGGGCUACACACGUACUACAAUGGCCGAUACAAAGGGCAGCGACACUGCGAGGUGAAGCCAAUCCCGUAAAAUCGGUCUCAGUCCGGAUUGGAGUCUGCAACUCGACUCCAUGAAGUUGGAAUCGCUAGUAAUCGUGGAUCAGCAUGCCACGGUGAAUACGUUCCCGGGCCUU